RNAcentral lists this ribosomal RNA (253 nucleotides) under uncultured bacterium. Its description in RNAcentral is "partial 16S ribosomal RNA". It matches the Rfam family "Bacterial small subunit ribosomal RNA", at positions 524 to 776 of the family's 1533-position model. The record is from RNAcentral.
UACGUAGGGGGCAAGCGUUGUCCGGAAUCAUUGGGCGUAAAGCGCACGUAGGCGGAUCGUUAAGUCGGGGGUGAAAUCCUGGAGCUCAACUCCAGAACUGCCUUCGAUACUGGCGAUCUUGAGUCCGGAAGAGGUGAGUGGAAUUCCUAGUGUAGAGGUGGAAUUCGUAGAUAUUAGGAAGAACACCAGUGGCGAAGGCGGCUCACUGGUCCGGUACUGACGCUGAGGUGCGAAAGCGUGGGGAGCAAACAGG